RNAcentral lists this microRNA precursor (96 nucleotides) under Marmota monax (woodchuck). Lineage: Eukaryota; Metazoa; Chordata; Mammalia; Rodentia; Sciuridae. The record is from RNAcentral.
AGUGUAAUUGCUGGGUCAUAUGGUAAAUCUGUUAACUUGCUAAGAAACCGCCUGUCUUCCCAAGUGACUGUCUCAUUUUUCAUUCCCACCAGCCAU